RNAcentral lists this ribosomal RNA (465 nucleotides) under Mirax lithocolletidis. Its description in RNAcentral is "eukaryotic LSU rRNA". The record is from RNAcentral. Lineage: Eukaryota; Metazoa; Arthropoda; Insecta; Hymenoptera; Braconidae.
ACCGUUCAGGGGUAAACCUGUGAAACCCAAAAGAUCGAAUGGGGAGAUUCAUCGUCAGCGUAUUCAGUAUUAAUGCAAGCUAUGAUGUGAUUAUAUGAUCCUUGUGGUCACUGUAUUAUACUUGCUUGUAUUAUUUACGGCUGAAUUGCGUCGGCGUGCACUUCUCCUCUAGUAGAACGUUGCGACCCGUUAAAUGUUUAUCUAUGGCCCAAUUGGUAGCCUUUAGAGUUGCGCCUUCGGGUGUUUACACUGAAGACCAUUGGUGUUUCCUGGUGAACUGUUCAACGGUAUUCUACGGUAUUAAUUCGCAAAUUUUUUAUUUGCGUUAGACUUGUUGCAAGUCAAGAUUAAUUUUAGCAGUGCGGACUUGUGCCGUCGCUAAAAUUGUCUGGCUGUUAGUUGACAAUGUUCUUUAACUGGCUUAUAUACUGGUCAGCAAUGCUACUGCUUUGGGUACUUACAGGA